This 409-nucleotide ribosomal RNA is filed under the name uncultured microorganism. RNAcentral's name for it is "bacterial SSU rRNA". It matches the Rfam family "Bacterial small subunit ribosomal RNA", at positions 509 to 917 of the family's 1533-position model. The record is from RNAcentral.
CAGCAGCCGCGGUAAUACGUAGGUGGCGAGCGUUAUCUGGAAUUACUGGGCGUAAAGGGUGUGUAGGUGGCUGCCAUAGUCGGGCGUGAAAUCCCGGGGCUUAACCUCGGGUUUGCGUUCGAUACUUGGUGGCUGGAGUGCGGGAGAGGGAAGUGGAAUUCCCGGUGUAGCGGUGAAAUGCGUAGAUAUCGGGAGGAACCCCGGUGGCGAAGGCGGCUUCCUGGCCCGUUACUGACGCUGAGGCACGAAAGCCAGGGGAGCGAACCGGAUUAGAUACCCGGGUAGUCCUGGCUGUAAACCAUGGGCGCUAGGUGUGGGUGGUGGUGAGCCAUCUGUGCCGAAGCUAACGCGUUAAGCGCCCCGCCUGGGGAGUACGGUCGCAAGGCUGAAACUUAAAGGAAUUGGCGGG